GUGGGGAAUAUUGGACAAUGGGGGGAACCCUGAUCCAGCCAUGCCGCGUGUGUGAAGAAGGCCUUAUGGUUGUAAAGCACUUUAAGCGAGGAGGAGGCUUACCUAGUUAAUACCUGGGAUAAGUGGACGUUACUCGCAGAAUAAGCACCGGCUAACUCUGUGCCAGCAGCCGCGGUAAUACAGAGGGUGCAAGCGUUAAUCGGAUUUACUGGGCGUAAAGCGCGCGUAGGCGGCCAAUUAAGUCAAAUGUGAAAUCCCCGAGCUUAACUUGGGAAUUGCAUUCGAUACUGGUUGGCUAGAGUGUGGGAGAGGAUGGUAGAAUUCCAGGUGUAGCGGUGAAAUGCGUAGAGAUCUGGAGGAAUACCGAUGGCGAAGGCAGCCAUCUGGCCUAACACUGACGCUGAGGUGCGAAAGCAUGGGGAGCAA
RNAcentral lists this ribosomal RNA (426 nucleotides) under uncultured Acinetobacter sp. RNAcentral describes it as "bacterial SSU rRNA". It matches the Rfam family "Bacterial small subunit ribosomal RNA", at positions 354 to 771 of the family's 1533-position model. The record is from RNAcentral. Lineage: Bacteria; Pseudomonadati; Pseudomonadota; Gammaproteobacteria; Moraxellales; Moraxellaceae.